CAGCCGCCACGGUAAUACGAGGGGUGCAAGCGUUAUUCGGAUUGAUUGGGUGUAAAGGGUGUGCAGACGGCUUAUUAAGUCACUUGUUAAAUUCUUCGGCCUAACUGAAGGUCUGCAAGUGAUACUGAUGAGCUAGAGGGUGGAAGAGAGAAGUGGAAUUCUCGGAGUAGCGGUAAAAUGCGUAGAUCUCGAGAGGAACACCAAUGGCGAAGGCAGCUUCUUGGUCCAUUCCUGACGUUCAUACACGAAAGCGUGGGGAGCAAACAGGAUUAGAUACCCGCGUAGUCCCUGUCUCUUAACA
RNAcentral lists this ribosomal RNA (301 nucleotides) under uncultured bacterium. Its description in RNAcentral is "partial 16S ribosomal RNA". It matches the Rfam family "Bacterial small subunit ribosomal RNA", at positions 509 to 808 of the family's 1533-position model. The record is from RNAcentral.